UGCCUGUACCAUAACCGACACAGGUGGGUAAGUAGAGUAUACUAAGGGGCGCGAGAUAACUCUCUCUAAGGAACUCGGCAAAAUAACUCCGUAACUUCGGGAGAAGGAGUGCCUUAUUCUUAAGGUUGCAAUAACAAGAUCCAAGCAACUGUUUAUCAAAAACACAGGUCUCCGCUAAGUCGUAAGACGAUGUAUGGGGGCUGACGCCUGCCCAGUGCCAGAAGGUUAAAGAAGUCGGUUAGCAAUAGCAAAGCUGGUAACUGAAGCCCUGGUGAACGGCGGCCGUAACAAUAACGGUCCUAAGGUAGCGAAAUUCCUUGUCGGGUAAGUUCCGACCCGCACGAAAGGCGUAAUGAUUUGGAUGCUGUCUCGGAGAGGGGCUCGGUGAAAUAGACUUGUCUGUGAAGAUGCGGACUACCUGCACCAGGACAGAAAGACCCUAUGAAGCUUUACUGUAACUUGAAAUUGAAAUUGGACUUUAUUCGCGCAGUAUAGGUGGGAGGCGUUGAUUAUAAUCUUGUGGGAUUAUUGGAGCCAUCAGUGAGAUACCACUCUUGUAAUGUUAGAUUUCUAACUUUGAAUCAUUAUCUGGUCAAAGGACAGUUUCAGGCGGGCAGUCUGACUGGGGCGGUCGCCUCCUAAACGGUAACGGAGGCGUACAAAGGUUUCCUCUGAACGGUUAGAAAUCGUAUCUAGAGUGUAAAGGCAUAAGGAAGCUUGACUGUGAGACCUACAAGUCGAGCAGGGACGAAAGUCGGUCUUAGUGAUCUGACGGUACUGAGUGGAAAGGCCGUCACUCAACGGAUAAAAGUUACUCUAGGAUAACAGGCUGAUCUCCCCCAAGAGUUCACAUCGACGCGGAGGUUUGGCACCUCGAUGUCGGCUCAUCGCAUCCUGGGGCGGUAGUACGUCCCAAGGGUUGGGCUGUUCGCCCAUGAAAGCGGUACGCGAGCUGGGUUCAGAACGUCGUGAGACAGUUCGGUCCAUAUCCGGUGUAGGCGCUAGAAUAUUGAGAGGAGCCUUCCUUAGUACGAGAGGACCGAGAAGGACAUACCUCUGGUGUACCAGUUAUCGUGCCAACGGUAAACGCUGGGUAGCUAUGUAUGGAGUGGAUAACCGCUGAAAGCAUCUAAGUGGGAAGCCCACCUCAAGAUAAGUAUUCUCAUCACGUAAGUGAGUAAGGUCACGGUAAGACUAACCGUUUGAUAGGCAUUAAGUGUAAGUACAGUAAUGUAUGUGCUGAGAUGUCCUAAUAGACCGAGGACUC
RNAcentral lists this ribosomal RNA (1267 nucleotides) under metagenome. RNAcentral describes it as "bacterial LSU rRNA". It matches the Rfam family "Bacterial large subunit ribosomal RNA", at positions 1639 to 2925 of the family's 2925-position model. The record is from RNAcentral.